AGAGUUUGAUCCUGGCUCAGAAUCAACGCUGGCGGCGUGCCUCAGACAUGCAAGUCGAACGAGAAAUCCCGAGCAAUCGGGAGAGUAAAGUGGCGCACGGGUGAGUAACACGUAGGUAAUCUACCUUCGGGUGGGGAAUAACGCAGGGAAACUUGCGCUAACACCGCAUAAUGCAGCGGCACCACAUGGUGACAGUUGUUAAAGCGGGGGAUUUUCGGACCUCGCGCCUGAAGAGGAGCCUGCGGCAGAUUAGCUAGUUGGUAGGGUAACGGCUUACCAAGGCAACGAUCUGUAGCCGGCCUGAGAGGGCGGUCGGCCACACUGACACUGACAUACGGGUCAGACUCCUACGGGAGGCAGCAGUCGGGAAUUUUGGGCAAUGGGCGAAAGCCUGACCCAGCAACGCCGCGUGAAGGAUGAAAUCCCUCGGGAUGUAAACUUCGCAAGAAUGGGAAGAAUUAGCGAGCGCUAACACCGUUCGUGAUGACGGUACCAUUUUAGUUCCCGCC
Molecule: ribosomal RNA, 509 nt
Filed under: uncultured soil bacterium
Lineage: Bacteria
Description: bacterial SSU rRNA
Rfam family: Bacterial small subunit ribosomal RNA
Source: RNAcentral